Molecule: ribosomal RNA, 919 nt
Filed under: uncultured Legionella sp.
Lineage: Bacteria; Pseudomonadati; Pseudomonadota; Gammaproteobacteria; Legionellales; Legionellaceae
Description: bacterial SSU rRNA
Rfam family: Bacterial small subunit ribosomal RNA
Source: RNAcentral
GAGUUUGAUCCUGGCUCAGAUUGAACGCUGGCGGCAUGCCUAACACAUGCAAGUCGAACGGCAGCAUGGUCUAGCUUGCUAGACUGAUGGCGAGUGGCGAACGGGUGAGUAACGCGUAGGAAUAUACCUUGAAGUGGGGGACAACCUGGGGAAACCCAGGCUAAUACCGCAUAAGCUCUAAGGAGUAAAGCUGGGGACCUUCGGGCCUGGCGCUUUGAGAUUAGCCUGCGUCCGAUUAGCUAGUUGGAGGGGUAAAGGCCCACCAAGGCGACGAUCGGUAGCUGGUCUGAGAGGAUGGUCAGCCACACUGGGACUGAGACACGGCCCAGACUCCUACGGGAGGCAGCAGUGGGGAAUAUUGGACAAUGGGGGCAACCCUAAUCCAGCAAUGCCGCGUGUGUGAAGAAGGCCUAUGGGUUGUAAAGCACUUUCAGUGGGGAGGAGGACUUGUUGAUUAAGAGUUAAUAAGUUGGACGUUACCCACAGAAGAAGCACCGGCUAACUCCGUGCCAGCAGCCGCGGUAAUACGGAGGGUGCGAGCGUUAAUCGGAAUUACUGGGCGUAAAGGGUGCGUAGGUGGUUUAGUAAGUUGGCUGUGAAAUUCCUGGGCUUAACCUAGGGCGGUCAGCCAAAACUAUUAGACUAGAGUAUGGGAGAGGGUAGUGGAAUUUCCGGUGUAGCGGUGAAAUGCGUAGAGAUCGGAAGGAACACCAGUGGCGAAGGCGUCUGCCUGGCCCAAUACUGACACUGAGGCACGAAAGCGUGGGUAGCAAACAGGAUUAGAUACCCUGGUAGUCCACGCCGUAAACGAUGUCAACUAGCUGUUGGGUACAUGAAGGUACUUAGUGGCGCAGCUAACGCGAUAAGUUGACCGCCUGGGGAGUACGGUCGCAAGAUUAAAACUCAAAGGAAUUGACGG